AUGGACAAGAGUUGGAUGGAUAAAGCUAGAAAUACACAAGCAUAUAUUGACGGGGGCAAGCUCAAGGGCGAUGUAUCUCAUAGCCAUACACAACCAUUUGGAAGUGGAGAAGUCCAUGGCAAAAGCAGUAAUGCGACCACAAGCAAGCUGAGGAGCAGGCAGUGUUGUGUCGACUACGUCUGGAUAGCAACUCAUCUCCAUCCUCGCCCCAAGCAGUGUCGCCUCACCUCUACUUCCUCGCCUAAGCGGUACCGCCUAUGGUCUCCGCUUCACCGCCAAUGGAGCAUGGUAGCCCAGUGGCAAAAGCUUCUAUGUAUGCAGUUGGAAGUGGAUAAGUGUCAGGCUCUUCCUACAGGAUGUCUACUAGUUCAGUUCUAG
This 378-nucleotide ribosomal RNA is filed under the name Triticum aestivum (bread wheat). RNAcentral describes it as "partial small subunit ribosomal RNA". Lineage: Eukaryota; Viridiplantae; Streptophyta; Magnoliopsida; Poales; Poaceae. The record is from RNAcentral.